This is a long non-coding RNA of Python bivittatus (Burmese python), 746 nucleotides long. RefSeq lists it as uncharacterized. NCBI's taxonomy places the organism in Eukaryota, Metazoa, Chordata, Lepidosauria, Squamata, Pythonidae. The record is from RefSeq and is a predicted model, not a curated record.
CGGAAGCCGGCGGCGGGAGGGGUGGGAGUUGUAGUCCGAGGACGAGCGAAGCGUUCGCGCAGGCUGGCCCGGGGGAUCGCAGGCACCUGGAUGGGGCACGAGUAAGCCGACCCGCCGCGGCAUGCCUGGGAGCCGCGGGGCGCACGGACAGGGUGCCAAUGUCAGGAUAGGAAGCAGGUGACAGCGAGGGUCCUUUUGUCGUCACUGUCCUCACCUGAAGCAGCCACAGAGAUCCUGGCAAAAGCCAGCAAAGGAAGAAGGAGCCUACCGGGCUGCACAAUGAGGGAGGGGUGUUCCCCGCUUCCUAAUCCAGUGCCUCCUCAUCCAACCACCUCUUCGGAGGACCCCAGGCCAUCCACUUCUGCUAUGGCACUGGAGGAAUUGGACAGUCCCAGGCGACAUGGAAAACUACAGAGGAAAGGAACUGAGACCAGAGGUGCUUCAUCAGCUCUGGCACCAACAUCCCAGGCAAGGGAAGGAAGUACCAGUAUGGAGGCCUUUCGCCUUUCCCUGGAGGACCUCAGGGUAUCAGUCCUCCAGAACAUGAAAACAAUGAACCGUCGUUUAGAAGCACAGAAUAGAAGACUGUGUGCCCUGGAGGAGUGGAGGGCAGAGUCAGAGGCCCAGAGAAACAGUUUGCCCUAGCCAUCCACGUUCUCCUAUCCUCCUCCUUCCCCCAGUUUCCAUUUGUUUUAUGUUUUUGCAUAUAUUUAAGUAAACCUUUUUGGGAAGGGGAGUCAAACAAA